CCUACGGGUGGCAGCAGUGAGGAAUAUUGGUCAAUGGACGCAAGUCUGAACCAGCCAUGCCGCGUGCAGGAAGACGGCUCUAUGAGUUGUAAACUGCUUUUGUACGAGGGUAAACGCAGAUACGCGUAUCUGUCUGAAAGUAUCGUACGAAUAAGGAUCGGCUAACUCCGUGCCAGCAGCCGCGGUAAUACGGAGGAUUCAAGCGUUAUCCGGAUUUAUUGGGUUUAAAGGGUGCGUAGGUGGUCGGAUAAGUUAGAGGUCAAAUGUCGGGGCUUAACCCCGUGCCUGCCUGUGAUACUGUUAGACGAGAGAGCGGAUGAGGCAGGCGGAAUGAGUGGUGUAGCGGUGAAAUGCUUAGAUAUUACGCAGAACACCGAUUGCGAAGGCAGCUUGCUAAGCCGCAUCUGACGCUGAUGCACGAAAGCGUGGGUAGCGAACAGGAUUAGAUACCCCGGUAGUC
RNAcentral lists this ribosomal RNA (460 nucleotides) under uncultured bacterium. RNAcentral describes it as "partial 16S ribosomal RNA". It matches the Rfam family "Bacterial small subunit ribosomal RNA", at positions 338 to 795 of the family's 1533-position model. The record is from RNAcentral.